This 354-nucleotide ribosomal RNA is filed under the name Porcellionides cingendus. Its description in RNAcentral is "16S ribosomal RNA". The record is from RNAcentral. Lineage: Eukaryota; Metazoa; Arthropoda; Malacostraca; Isopoda; Porcellionidae.
UGUGCUAAGGUAGCAUAAUAAUUAGUUAUUUAAUUGAUAACUUGGAUGAAAGGUUUGACAAAAAGAAGAUUUUCUUUUUAUUUAUUGAAAUUAAUAUAUAAAUCAAAAAGUUUAUUUAAAUUAGAUAGACGAUAAGACCCUAAAACCUUUAUUGGUUAUUAAUCAAUUAACCUUUUUACUGGGGCGGUAAAUUAUAUUAACAUAAUUAUUAUCAACAAACUGUUUGAAUCUCAGUAACUUUGUAAAAAACAAUUAGGUACUUUAGGGAUAACAGCAUAAUUUUUAUUUAGAGUAAACUUAUCCACAUAAGAGAUUAUGACCUCGAUGUUGAAUUGAUAAAACCUUAUUAAGCAA